AUGGCCCUCUCGUCCAUCUCUUCCACCCCAUCCCCAUCUUCUCCGAUGCCGACCUCGGCAAGCAUGCCGGCGACGCAUCUCCUGCCCCCUCCUCUACGCAUUAGUCCCAGCGCCCAACAUCUCCACUCCCCCUCCUCCUCGCCAUCUCCUCCACCCCCUUCCCCGUCUCCUGCCGCUGACUGCCGCCGGCCAUGUGUUGCUUCCUUGGCGGCGGCGCUUCCGCAUAGUCCUCCUCCUCCUUCCCCACUGUUACUGAAGCGCCCCAUGUGGAGGUACUAUGCUUGGCUACUGCCUCUCCUUCCCAAUCCUCAUCCCUCCCACCCGUGCCGCCUCCAAAAUUCAUUUUUUUUGUUACCCAGAGUUCAAUUCGUUUGUUACCCAGAGUUCAAUUCGUGCGCCCAAGUCGAACUCUCUAGAAGGGACGAGGAUCUAGAAGCCAGUUUUGCAGAGUUGCAGUCCAAUAUAAAUCAAAUGGGUAGGCAGAUGGGACUCAAGCUGCUUGCACUACACCUCAAGAGCCACACGCUCGUCACGCCAAUCUGGAGGUGA
RNAcentral lists this ribosomal RNA (549 nucleotides) under Triticum aestivum (bread wheat). RNAcentral's name for it is "partial small subunit ribosomal RNA". The record is from RNAcentral. Lineage: Eukaryota; Viridiplantae; Streptophyta; Magnoliopsida; Poales; Poaceae.